Molecule: ribosomal RNA, 428 nt
Filed under: uncultured bacterium
Lineage: Bacteria
Description: partial 16S ribosomal RNA
Rfam family: Bacterial small subunit ribosomal RNA
Source: RNAcentral
GUAGGGAAUAUUGCGCAAUGGACGAAAGUCUGACGCAGCGACGCCGCGUGAGUGAUGAAGGCCUUAGGGUCGUAAAGCUCUGUUGAAUGGGAAGAAAAAAAUGACGGUACCAUUCGAGGAAGGACCGGCUAACUUCGUGCCAGCAGCCGCGGUAAUACGAGGGGUCCUAGCGUUGUUCGGAAUCAUUGGGCGUAAAGGGUGUGUAGGUGGCGAUGUAAGUCAGGUGUGAAAGCCCCGGGCUCAACCCGGGAAGUGCACUUGAUACUGCGUGGCUUGAGUACCGAAGAGGGGAGUGGAAUUCCAGGUGUAGUGGUGAAAUACGUAGAUAUCUGGAGGAACACCGGUGGCGAAGGCGGCUACCUGGUCGAGUACUGACACUGAGACACGAAAGCAUGGGGAUCAAACAGGAUUAGAAACCCCAGUAGUCC